Molecule: ribosomal RNA, 2775 nt
Filed under: Triticum aestivum (bread wheat)
Lineage: Eukaryota; Viridiplantae; Streptophyta; Magnoliopsida; Poales; Poaceae
Description: partial small subunit ribosomal RNA
Source: RNAcentral
CUGGACUGGCCGGCCCAAAGCAGAACAAGGUGCCCCAUUCGUCCUCGGCCGAGCAGCCGCACAGUUUGUUCCUAGUAGACGUGAAAAGUUUUUGCUCAAAAAAAAAAGAGUAGACGUGAACAAUUGAGCCACCGCGAAACAAAGAGGUGGGCAGCAGGUAUGACAGCAUCGAGUUGCUCUAAAAAAAAGAAGGGAAACGUUUACAACCGGGGCACCGGCCGAAACUUCGGCCGGUCCACUCGCUUACCCCGCGCGUAGCGCUAAAGCAGGAGAGACACGUCAUCCCGCGAGGGUCCGCACACCGCUCUGCUUCCUUAUCCUUUCCAGCGCGGCUGCUGUCCACACACACCACAUUUCCUUCCUUUCUUGCCUGGAUUUCCCACGCCGCUGCUUCUGCCUAUCUAUUUUUUCUCAGACGCCAUUGCUGUAGAGUUGCUGCACGGGGCGCCCUCACCCACGAAGCGUGGCGCCGCGGGAGUUGUUGCUGCUGCAAGGGAUGCCAUCGCCAUGGCCGAACGCGACGGGGCUGAGCACCGGCGCUAUUACGACAGGGGGCCAUGGUCUGCGAGCUCACAGGCCAGGGCGGCCAUGGCUACGAGCUCGAGGCAUGUUACUACAACUCCAGAUUUGCUUCCAUGUUUGCUUUUGCUGGAACCAGUGUACUAAUUUGUUACCAUCGUCUUUGUUUUUUGCUGGAACUAACCAAAUUUUGCUGCCAUGUCUUUUUGCUGGAAUCAUUUUUGUACCACUUUUUUGCUACAACAGUUUUGGUUUUUUGCUACUACCGGCACUGUCGUUUGUUACAUCCUUUUUCAUGAGAUUGUCGAGACCCUGUGCUUGUGUGUUUUGCUACAACCUUGUACUGUUUUUGCUACAACCUUCUACAUUUUUUGCUACUACUGGAGAAGCCCCUAGCUGGACCACAAGUUAUUUUUGCUACAACCGUUUUGUGGUUUGCUGCAACCAAUGUCAAUUUUUGCUACCACCGACUUCUUUGAUUUUUCUGGAACCAGCGCUCGAUUUUUUAUUUUUGCUACCACUAGCGUUUCGAUUUGCUGGAACAAGCUUCAAUUUUUGCUACCAUCAGGUUUUUGGUUUGUUGGAGUGUCGUCAAUUUUUUCUAAUUUUGCUACCAACGUUUUAUUAUUUGCUGGAACCGUCAAGAAUUUUUGCUACGGCCGGUGGAAUUUUUUGCUGCGACUGGCAAAUUAAGGAUGAGGAACAACACGAGCUCUACAACGGGUGCUGCGGCCGGUGACGUGAGGCUCCGCGAGCCGCGGGGGGCCUCGCCGGAGAUGCGCCGCGGGGGCGUUGCUGGAGCUGGGCCUCGCCGGAGAUGCGCCGCGGGGCUGGAGCUGGGCCUCACCGGAGAUGUGCCGCGGGGGCCUUUGCUGGAGCUGCGCGGUGCUGCGAGCCGCGGGGGAUCUCACCGGAGAUGCGCCGUGCUGCGAGCCGCAGGGGAUCUCGCCGGAGAUGCGCCACGGGGCCCGAGGAAGAAGAAGCUGGGGCGAUUUUUUAUUUUAUUUUUUUGGCUCCAGAUCCAACCGCCGCGCGGCUCGCAUCGAGCGGCUAUGGCUGGACCGGCCGAAAGUUUCGGCCGGUGCGCCGGCGUCUAGUGGUGCCCUAAAAAGAAGGCCAAAUCGAGCGCCUGAGGUAUCCCCGUCGCCUUCACUCGUCAGUCACUCAAAGGAAUCCAGCAAAGCAACAGGUCACCCGGCGUCCGCAGCGCCACAACCCGGCAGCACCGGCGCCUCCGGCCACGACCGACCCAAUCCAUCCCUCCUCUUCCGGGAAUAAAAUCUGGUCUCCAUGCGCACGGCGUGGGUGGGGCGGCCGCCGGUCGGUUGGCACGCACUCGCCGUCAGCUGGCCGACCCUGCCGCCAUCUCGCACAUACGCACACAGCAGCUGAUGCGGGCAGACUCAGACGUCACAGACGAUACAAGGGAAAGUAAACACAUCCGCGUACCUCUUCCGCAACGCAGAAACCGGCCUGACUCAUCGCUCAACGUCAGUGCCAACCUAGCGUUCAGCAAGAGCACGCACACUUGCACCUUUAUGUAAAGCAAAACCCGACGCCGUCACCAGCUUUGGUUUCUUCUCUUCCCAUUGCUCACAUACCUCGGCAGAGAGUAUUCUCACCUCCCAGCUCAGCCUUCACUUCCCUCUCCUCUCCUUCCUCCACCCACUCCACUCAGAGCUCCAGAAGCUCCGAUGGCGGCCCAGAAGGUGGUGCUGAGGGUCCCGACCAUGACCGACGACAAGGUGAAGCAGAAGGCUAUUGAAGCGGUCGCGGACAUCUACGGUAUUGAUUCCAUAGUUGCAGAUCUGAAGGACAAUAAGAUGAUCAUCAUAGGCGAGAUGGACACUGUGGCAAUCGCAAAGAAAUUAAAGAAGGUUGGGAAGAUUGACAUUGUGUCUGUUGGACCUGCAAAAGAAGAAAAGAAAGAAGAGAAGAAAGAAGAAAAGAAAGAGGAGAAGAAAGAGGAAAAGAAAGAAGAGAAGAAAGAGGAGAAGAAAGAAGAGAAGAAAUGAUUCAGCAUACAACACCAUCCCAUGGCCUUUCUCCUGUGUGCACUUGCAAUAGCUUUGACUACAGAUUGAUGUUUCUAAGAGAUAUGACUUUGUACCAUUUAUAUAUAAAGUACGUACAUAUUAGUGACGUUUCUUUACAGAAAAGAAUACACUUUGUUCUUCCAUUUCUUAGCAUCUAUACGCCUACCUCAUCGAAUUAUCUUCACUUCCUCAUCCAUGCCCAGCGUUGGGACACCAACAC